RNAcentral lists this ribosomal RNA (482 nucleotides) under uncultured bacterium. RNAcentral's name for it is "bacterial SSU rRNA". It matches the Rfam family "Bacterial small subunit ribosomal RNA", at positions 30 to 507 of the family's 1533-position model. The record is from RNAcentral.
AUUGAACGCUGGCGGAAUGCUUUACACAUGCAAGUCGAACGGUAGAGGGGGCAACCCCUCGAGAGUGGCGAACGGGUGAGUAAUAUAUCGGAACGUGCCCAGUCGUGGGGGAUAACGUAGCGAAAGUUACGCUAAUACCGCAUACGAUCUACGGAUGAAAGCGGGGGAUCGCAAGACCUCGCGCGAUUGGAGCGGCCGAUAUCAGAUUAGGUAGUUGGUGGGGGUAAAAGGCUCACCAAGCCAACGAUCUGUAGCUGGUCUGAGAGGACGACCAGCCACACUGGAACUGAGACACGGUCCAGACUCCUACGGGAGGCAGCAGUGGGGAAUUUUGGACAAUGGACGCAAGUCUGAUCCAGCCAUUCCGCGUGCAGGAUGAAGGCCCUCGGGUUGUAAACUGCUUUUGUACGGAACGAAAAGGUCUCUCCUAAUACGAGGGGCUCAUGACGGUACCGUAAGAAUAAGCACCGGCUAACUACGUG